This 322-nucleotide ribosomal RNA is filed under the name uncultured cyanobacterium. RNAcentral describes it as "bacterial SSU rRNA". It matches the Rfam family "Bacterial small subunit ribosomal RNA", at positions 225 to 562 of the family's 1533-position model. Lineage: Bacteria; Bacillati; Cyanobacteriota. The record is from RNAcentral.
AUGAGCUCGCGUCUGAUUAGCUAGUUGGUGGGGUAAAGGCCUACCAAGGCGACGAUCAGUAGCUGGUCUGAGAGGAUGAUCAGCCACACUGGGACUGAGACACGGCCCAGACUCCUACGGGAGGCAGCAGUGGGGAAUUUUCCGCAAUGGGCGAAAGCCUGACGGAGCAACACCGCGUGAGGGAGGAAGGCUCUUGGGUUGUAAACCUCUUUUCUCAGGGAAGAAAACUAUGACGGCCCCUGAGGAAUAAUCUCGGGAAACUCCGCGCCAGCCGCCGCGGUAAUACGGAGGAGGCAAGCUUUCUCCGGAAAUUUUGGGCGAA